RNAcentral lists this ribosomal RNA (460 nucleotides) under uncultured bacterium. RNAcentral describes it as "partial 16S ribosomal RNA". It matches the Rfam family "Bacterial small subunit ribosomal RNA", at positions 338 to 795 of the family's 1533-position model. The record is from RNAcentral.
CCUACGGGUGGCAGCAGUGAGGAAUAUUGGUCAAUGGACGAGAGUCUGAACCAGACAAGUAGCGUGAAGGAUGACUGCCCUAUGGGUUGUAAACUUCUUUUAUAUGGGAAUAAAACGUUCCACGUGUGGGAUUUUGUAUGUACCAUAUGAAUAAGGAUCGGCUAACUCCGUGCCAGCAGCCGCGGUAAUACGGAGGAUCCGAGCGUUAUCCGGAUUUAUUGGGUUUAAAGGGAGCGUAGGUGGAUUGUUAAGUCAGUUGUGAAAGUUUGCGGCUCAACCGUAAAAUUGCAGUUGAAACUGGCAGUCUUGAGUACAGUAGAGGUGGGCGGAAUGCGUGGUGUAGCGGUGAAAUGCUUAGAUAUCACGAAGAACUCCGAUUGCGAAGGCAGUUCACUGGACUGCAACUGACACUGAGGCUCGAAAGUGUGGGUAUCAAACAGGAUUAGAUACCCUGGUAGUC